This 253-nucleotide ribosomal RNA is filed under the name uncultured bacterium. RNAcentral describes it as "partial 16S ribosomal RNA". It matches the Rfam family "Bacterial small subunit ribosomal RNA", at positions 524 to 776 of the family's 1533-position model. The record is from RNAcentral.
UACGGAGGGUGCAAGCGUUAUCCGGAUUUAUUGGGUUUAAAGGGUGCGUAGGCGGCUUUGUAAGUCAGCGGUGAAAUUUUCCGGCUUAACCGGAUUCGUGCCGUUGAUACUGCUUGGCUUGAGUAUGGUCGAGGGCGGCGGAAUGUGCGGUGUAGCGGUGAAAUGCUUAGAUAUCGCACAGAACACCUAUUGCGAAGGCAGCUGCCUAGGUCAUUACUGACACUGAUGCACGACAGCGUGGGGAUCGAACAGG